Molecule: long non-coding RNA, 889 nt
Filed under: Cyanistes caeruleus (blue tit)
Lineage: Eukaryota; Metazoa; Chordata; Aves; Passeriformes; Paridae
Description: lncRNA (ENSCCEG00000013928.1)
Source: RNAcentral
AACACUGAAUCUGUAUUUUAAUGGUGUCUAGAAAGCAGAGAAAAUUGAAGUGGCUGAAAAACUGAAUGUGACAAAAAUUCCCACGUUGAUUAUAGAUUAAUUUACCUUUGAAACUGAAAAACAGGAGUUAUGCUUCAUAUCUUUUUCUAUAUGAGCUUUUAUAUUAUGCUACAUUUUUUAUUUUAACAGAUGGCACAAUUUAAUCCUUAUCAGAGGGACAGGAGUUAUGUAGAAACUGGUAGUGUUUGUCUUGUGGUGUGGAGAAGAUUAAUGGGAACUAUAAUAUUUUGGGAUUUUUUUAUUAUAGCUACAUGUAUGUCUCCUAAAAUAUUAUCAUCAAUUUGGGUUUUUUUACAGAAUUUUUCUGUUUGUGUGAAAAUGAAGAGAACGAUGCCUGCAGCCAAACCUCCAAUCUAGCAACUAUUAGCUUUCCAAAAUUCAGAGCACCAUUAUCAAAUCCAUGACACUAACAACAUGUAUGGACCAUCAUCAUUCAGAUUUAAUUGGGCCAGAGGCUGCUCUAACUCAUCAGCUGAAAUAUACUUCUUCAAGAAGCUUGGCCAUGGAGACUACCAUUUAAUAAAUAUCUUCAAUUUCCCAGCAGCUUUGCCUUGUCUUGAGCAUGCACAAUGGGAAAGGAAAGGCCCAGGAGUUACCAACUGCUCAGUAAAGGAGAAAGAACAUUUCUGUGUCUUCCAUGGAACAGUGCAACAACAAAGAAGAAAAGCAUGUGUUGUAUUUAUUAUUAACCAGGACAACAAAAGGUGAGGAAGCCCCAAGAUUAACAGAAACAAAAAAAAAUUAUCUGACAUGUGAUGGUCACAAUAACUACAUGGAAAAAACCCCACCAUGUAUUUCAAUUCCAGUUAAAUAAAAGCCUGUUUCUGCC